This 433-nucleotide ribosomal RNA is filed under the name uncultured bacterium. RNAcentral's name for it is "partial 16S ribosomal RNA". It matches the Rfam family "Bacterial small subunit ribosomal RNA", at positions 29 to 507 of the family's 1533-position model. The record is from RNAcentral.
AACGAACGCUGGCGGCAUGCCUAACACAUGCAAGUCGAACGAAGGCUUCGGCCUUAGUGGCGCACGGGUGCGUAACGCGUGGGAAUCUGCCCUUUGGUUCGGAAUAACAGCUGGAAACGGCUGCUAAUACCGGAUGAUGACGAAAGUCCAAAGAUUUAUCGCCAGAGGAUGAGCCCGCGUUGGAUUAGGUAGUUGGUGGGGUAAAGGCCUACCAAGCCGACGAUCCAUAGCUGGUCUGAGAGGAUGAUCAGCCACACUGGGACUGAGACACGGCCCAGACUCCUACGGGAGGCAGCAGUAGGGAAUAUUGGACAAUGGGCGCAAGCCUGAUCCAGCAAUGCCGCGUGAGUGAUGAAGGCCCUAGGGUUGUAAAGCUCUUUUACCCGGGAAGAUAAUGACUGUACCGGGAGAAUAAGCCCCGGCUAACUCCGUG